This 789-nucleotide ribosomal RNA is filed under the name uncultured bacterium. RNAcentral's name for it is "bacterial SSU rRNA". It matches the Rfam family "Bacterial small subunit ribosomal RNA", at positions 8 to 796 of the family's 1533-position model. The record is from RNAcentral.
AGAGUUUGAUCAUGGCUCAGGAUGAACGCUAGCGGCAGGCCUAAUACAUGCAAGUCGAACGGACUGGAGUAGCAAUACUUCAGUUAGUGGCGCACGGGUGCGUAACGCGUAUGCAACCUACCUUUUAUUGGGGGAUAGCCCGAAGAAAUUCGGAUUAAUACCGCAUAAUAUCAUUUGAGGGCAUCUGAGGAUGAUUAAAGCUACGGCGAUAAAAGAUGGGCAUGCGUGUCAUUAGCUAGUUGGUUGAGGUAACGGCUCACCAAGGCGACGAUGACUAGGGGUUCUGAGAGGAUGAUCCCCCACACUGGUACUGAGAUACGGACCAGACUCCUACGGGAGGCAGCAGUAGGGAAUAUUGGGCAAUGGCGGAAACGCUGACCCAGCCAUGCCGCGUGCAGGAUGAAGGCCUUCUGGGUUGUAAACUGCUUUUAUCUAGGAAGAAAAUACUCUUGCGAGAGGAACUGACGGUACUAGAUGAAUAAGCACCGGCUAACUCCGUGCCAGCAGCCGCGGUAAUACGGAGGGUGCAAGCGUUGUCCGGAUUUAUUGGGUUUAAAGGGUGCGUAGGCGGCUUCAUAAGUCCGUGGUGAAAGCCAACAGCUCAACUGUUGAACUGCCAUGGAUACUGUGAGGCUUGAGUACAGACGAGGUAGGCGGAAUGGAUCGUGUAGCGGUGAAAUGCAUAGAUACGAUCCAGAACUCCGAUUGCGAAGGCAGCUUACUAGGCUGUAACUGACGCUGAGGCACGAAAGCGUGGGGAGCGAACAGGAUUAGAUACCCUAGUAGUCC